GUCGAGCGACGCAUACCGGAGGGGUAACCCACUGGUAUGACGGAGCGGCGAACGGGUGAGUAACACGUGAGUAACCUGCCCCACAGACCGGGACAGCCCAGGGAAACCUGGAUUAAUACCGGAUAUCCUCGAAGGAUCGCAUGAUCUUCCGAGGAAAUGCCUUUGUGCUGUGGGAUGGGCUCGCGACUUAUCAGCUAGUUGGUGGGGUAACGGCCUACCAAGGCGUCGACGAGUAGCUGGUCUGAGAGGACGAUCAGCCACACUGGGACUGAGACACGGCCCAGACUCCUACGGGAGGCAGCAGCAGGGAAUCUUGCGCAAUGGGCGAAAGCCUGACGCAGCAACGCCGCGUGGGGGAUGAAGGCCUUCGGGUUGUAAACCCCUUUCAGGAGGGAAGAAAUUGACGGUACCUCCAAAAGAAGCACCGGCCAACUACGUGCCAGCAGCCGCGGUAAUACGUAGGGUGCGAGCGUUAUCCGGAAUCAUUGGGCGUAAAGAGCUCGUAGGCGGUUCAGUAAGUCGGCUGUGAAAUUUCGAGGCUCAACCUCGAAACUGCAGUCGAAACUGCUGUGACUCGAGUCCGGUAGAGGAGAAUGGAAUUCCCGGUGUAGCGG
RNAcentral lists this ribosomal RNA (614 nucleotides) under uncultured bacterium. Its description in RNAcentral is "bacterial SSU rRNA". It matches the Rfam family "Bacterial small subunit ribosomal RNA", at positions 61 to 681 of the family's 1533-position model. The record is from RNAcentral.